RNAcentral lists this microRNA precursor (58 nucleotides) under Triops cancriformis. RNAcentral's name for it is "microRNA tcf-mir-10320 precursor". The record is from miRBase by way of RNAcentral. Lineage: Eukaryota; Metazoa; Arthropoda; Branchiopoda; Notostraca; Triopsidae.
UGUGUCUUGUCGUGCUGCUGCUUAUACAUGUAAUGCAGACAGCAGAAAAAGGUACAGA